AUUGAACGCUGGCGGCAUGCCUUACACAUGCAAGUCGAACGGCAGCACGGGGGCAACCCUGUGGCGAGUGGCGAACGGGUGAGUAAUACAUCGGAACGUACCCAGUAGUGGGGGNGUANCCCGGCCGAAAGCCGGAUUAAUACCGCAUACGACCUACGGGUGAAAGCGGGGGNGUCNCAAGACCUCGUGCUACCGGAGCGGCCGAUGUCAGAUUAGGUUGUU
Molecule: ribosomal RNA, 222 nt
Filed under: uncultured bacterium
Lineage: Bacteria
Description: partial 16S ribosomal RNA
Rfam family: Bacterial small subunit ribosomal RNA
Source: RNAcentral